GAUGAACGCUAGCGGCAGGCUUAACACAUGCAAGUCGAGGGGCAGCAUACCCAGCAAUGGGUGAUGGCGACCGGCGGAAGGGUGCGUAACGCGUGAGCAACAUGCCCAUAUCAGUGGGAUAAUCCAGGGAAACUUGGUCUAAUACCACAUAGUAUCUUUUAGAGACAUCUUUAAAAGAUUAAAGAUUUAUCGGAUAUGGAUUGGCUCGCGUGACAUUAGCUGGAUGGUAGGGUAACGGCCUACCAUGGCAAUGAUGUCUAGGGGUUCUGAGAGGAAGGUCCCCCACACUGGAACUGAGACACGGUCCAGACUCCUACGGGGAGGCAGCAGUGAGGAAUAUUGGACAAUGGAUGGAAAUCUGAUCCAGCCAUGCCGCGUGCAGGAAGAAGGUCCUAUGGAUUAGUAAACUGUCUUUUGUACGGGAGCAAUAAGGGCUAUGCGUAGUUCGAUGAGAGUACCGUACGAAUAAGGAUCGGACUAAC
This 482-nucleotide ribosomal RNA is filed under the name uncultured bacterium. Its description in RNAcentral is "bacterial SSU rRNA". It matches the Rfam family "Bacterial small subunit ribosomal RNA", at positions 28 to 501 of the family's 1533-position model. The record is from RNAcentral.